UGGGGAAUAUUGCACAAUGGGCGAAAGCCUGAUGCAGCGACGCCGCGUGCGGGAUGAAGGCCUUCGGGUUGUAAACCGCUUUUGAUUGGGAGCAAGCGAGAGUGAGUGUACCUUUCGAAUAAGCACCGGCUAACUACGUGCCAGCAGCCGCGGUAAUACGUAGGGUGCAAGCGUUAUCCGGAAUUAUUGGGCGUAAAGAGCUCGUAGGCGGUUUGUCGCGUCUGGUGUGAAAGUCCAUCGCUUAACGGUGGAUCUGCGCCGGGUACGGGCAGGCUAGAGUGCGACAGGGGAGACUGGAAUUCCCGGUGUAACGGUGGAAUGUGUAGAUAUCGGGAAGAACACCAAUGGCGAAGGCAGGUCUCUGGGUCGUCACUGACGCUGAGGAGCGAAAGCGUGGGGAGCGAACAGGAUUAGAUACCCUGGUAGUCCACGCCGUAAACGGUGGAUGCUGGAUGUGGGGCCCAUUCCACGGGUUCCGUGUCGGAGCUAAC
RNAcentral lists this ribosomal RNA (491 nucleotides) under uncultured bacterium. Its description in RNAcentral is "partial 16S ribosomal RNA". It matches the Rfam family "Bacterial small subunit ribosomal RNA", at positions 355 to 856 of the family's 1533-position model. The record is from RNAcentral.